This 669-nucleotide ribosomal RNA is filed under the name uncultured bacterium. RNAcentral describes it as "bacterial SSU rRNA". It matches the Rfam family "Bacterial small subunit ribosomal RNA", at positions 165 to 852 of the family's 1533-position model. The record is from RNAcentral.
AAUACCGCAUAUGCUCACACUAACACAUGUAAGAGUGAGGAAAGGAGCAAUCCACUUACAGAUGGGCUUGCGUCUGAUUAGCUAGUUGGUGGGGUAAAGGCCUACCAAGGCGACGAUCAGUAGCCGGACUGAGAGGUUGAACGGCCACAUUGGGACUGAGAUACGGCCCAGACUCCUACGGGAGGCAGCAGUCGGGAAUAUUGCGCAAUGGAGGAAACUCUGACGCAGUGACGCCGCGUAUAGGAAGAAGUUUUUCGGAAUGUAAACUAUUGUCGUUAGGGAAGAGAAAGGACGGUACCUAAGGAGGAAGCCCCGGCUAACUAUGUGCCAGCAGCCGCGGUAAUACAUAGGGGGCGAGCGUUAUCCGGAAUUAUUGGGUGUAAAGGGUGCGUAGACGGGAAAUUAAGUUAGUUGUGAAAUCCCUUGGCUUAACUGAGGAACUGCAACUAAAACUGAUUUUCUUGAGUAUUGGAGAGGAAAGUGGAAUUCCUAGUGUAGCGGUGAAAUGCGUAGAUAUUAGGAGGAACACCAGUGGCGAAGGCGACUUUCUGGACAAAAACUGACGUUGAGGCACGAAAGUGUGGGGAGCAAACAGGAUUAGAUACCCUGGUAGUCCACACCGUAAACGAUGGAUACUAGGUGUAGGGUGAAAAAACUCUGUGCCGGCGC